UCCCUGCUUUUCCUCCCUGAGCAGGAGCCUUGCCGUGAUGACAGCGAUAAGGCUUUUCUGCCCCAGCCAAUUGGCUGGGGCUUUUUUCU
Rhizobacter sp. Root1221 is the source of this 89-nucleotide small RNA. It matches the Rfam family "Burkholderia RNA 7 (anti-hemB)". From Rfam's summary of the family: This RNA motif was identified by computational search in b-proteobacteria Burkholderia. Co-purified with Hfq, expression confirmed by Northern blot. NCBI's taxonomy places the organism in Bacteria, Pseudomonadati, Pseudomonadota, Betaproteobacteria, Burkholderiales, Sphaerotilaceae. The record is from Rfam.